AGAGUUUGAUCCUGGCUCAGGACGAACGCUGGCGGCGUGCCUAAUACAUGCAAGUAGAACGCUGAAGGGAGGAGCUUGCUCUUCUUGGAUGAGUUGCGAACGGGUGAGUAACGCGUAGGUAACCUGCCUUGUAGCGGGGGAUAACUAUUGGAAACGAUAGCUAAUACCGCAUAACAAUGGAUGACACAUGUCAUUUAUUUGAAAGGGGCAAUUGUUCCACUACAAGAUGGACCUGCGUUGUAUUAGCUAGUAGGUGAGGUAAUGGCUCACCUAGGCGACGAUACAUAGCCGACCUGAGAGGGUGAUCGGCCACACUGGGACUGAGACACGGCCCAGACUCCUACGGGAGGCAGCAGUAGGGAAUCUUCGGCAAUGGGGGCAACCCUGACCGAGCAACGCCGCGUGAGUGAAGAAGGUUUUCGGAUCGUAAAGCUCUGUUGUAAGUCAAGAACGGGUGUGAGAGUGGAAAGUUCACACUGUGACGGUAGCUUACCAGAAAGGGACGGCUAACUACGUGCCAGCAGCCGCGGUAAUACGUAGGUCCCGAGCGUUGUCCGGAUUUAUUGGGCGUAAAGCGAGCGCAGGCGGUUUGAUAAGUCUGAAGUUAAAGGCUGUGGCUCAACCAUAGUUCGCUUUGGAAACUGUCAAACUUGGGUGCAGAAGGGGAGAGUGGAAUUCCAUGUGUAGCGGUGAAAUGCGUAGAUAUAUGGAGGAACACCGGUGGCGAAAGCGGCUCUCUGGUCUGUAACUGACGCUGAGGCUCGAAAGCGUGGGGAGCGAACAGGAUUAGAUACCCUGGUAGUCCACGCCGUAAACGAUGAGUGCUAGGUGUUGGAUCCUUUCCGGGAUUCAGUGCCGCAGCUAACGCAUUAAGCACUCCGCCUGGGGAGUACGACCGCAAGGUUGAAACUCAAAGGAAUUGACGGGGGCCCGCACAAGCGGUGGAGCAUGUGGUUUAAUUCGAAGCAACGCGAAGAACCUUACCAGGUCUUGACAUCCCGAUGCUAUUUCUAGAGAUAGAAAGUUACUUCGGUACAUCGGUGACAGGUGGUGCAUGGUUGUCGUCAGCUCGUGUCGUGAGAUGUUGGGUUAAGUCCCGCAACGAGCGCAACCCCUAUUGUUAGUUGCCAUCAUUCAGUUGGGCACUCUAGCGAGACUGCCGGUAAUAAACCGGAGGAAGGUGGGGAUGACGUCAAAUCAUCAUGCCCCUUAUGACCUGGGCUACACACGUGCUACAAUGGUUGGUACAACGAGUUGCGAGUCGGUGACGGCGAGCUAAUCUCUUAAAGCCAAUCUCAGUUCGGAUUGUAGGCUGCAACUCGCCUACAUGAAGUCGGAAUCGCUAGUAAUCGCGGAUCAGCACGCCGCGGUGAAUACGUUCCCGGGCCUUGUACACACCGCCCGUCACACCACGAGAGUUUGUAACACCCGAAGUCGGUGAGGUAACCUUUUGGAGCCAGCCGCCUAAGGUGGGACAGAUGAUUGGGGUGAAGUCGUAACAAGGUA
Molecule: ribosomal RNA, 1506 nt
Filed under: metagenome
Description: bacterial SSU rRNA
Rfam family: Bacterial small subunit ribosomal RNA
Source: RNAcentral